Molecule: ribosomal RNA, 1016 nt
Filed under: uncultured bacterium
Lineage: Bacteria
Description: bacterial SSU rRNA
Rfam family: Bacterial small subunit ribosomal RNA
Source: RNAcentral
AGGAAUAUUGGUCAAUGGGCGCAGGCCUGAACCAGCCAAGUAGCGUGAAGGAUGACUGCCCUAUGGGUUGUAAACUUCUUUUAUAAAGGAAUAAAGUCGGGUAUGUAUACCCGUUUGCAUGUACUUUAUGAAUAAGGAUCGGCUAACUCCGUGCCAGCAGCCGCGGUAAUACGGAGGAUCCGAGCGUUAUCCGGAUUUAUUGGGUUUAAAGGGAGCGUAGAUGGAUGUUUAAGUCAGUUGUGAAAGUUUGCGGCUCAACCGUAAAAUUGCAGUUGAUACUGGAUAUCUUGAGUGCAGUUGAGGCAGGCGGAAUUCGUGGUGUAGCGGUGAAAUGCUUAGAUAUCACGAAGAACUCCGAUUGCGAAGGCAGCCUGCUAAGCUGCAACUGACAUUGAGGCUCGAAAGUGUGGGUAUCAAACAGGAUUAGAUACCCUGGUAGUCCACACGGUAAACGAUGAAUACUCGCUGUUUGCGAUAUACUGCAAGCGGCCAAGCGAAAGCGUUAAGUAUUCCACCUGGGGAGUACGCCGGCAACGGUGAAACUCAAAGGAAUUGACGGGGGCCCGCACAAGCGGAGGAACAUGUGGUUUAAUUCGAUGAUACGCGAGGAACCUUACCCGGGCUUAAAUUGCAGAUGAAUUACGGUGAAAGCCGUAAGCCGCAAGGCAUCUGUGAAGGUGCUGCAUGGUUGUCGUCAGCUCGUGCCGUGAGGUGUCGGCUUAAGUGCCAUAACGAGCGCAACCCUUGUUGUCAGUUACUAACAGGUUCCGCUGAGGACUCUGACAAGACUGCCAUCGUAAGAUGUGAGGAAGGUGGGGAUGACGCCAAAUCAGCACGGCCCUUACGUCCGGGGCUACACACGUGUUACAAUGGGGGGUACAGAGGGCCGCUACCACGCGAGUGGAUGCCAAUCCCCAAAACCUCUCUCAGUUCGGACUGGAGUCUGCAACCCGACUCCACGAAGCUGGAUUCGCUAGUAAUCGCGCAUCAGCCACGGCGCGGUGAAUACGUUCCCG